RNAcentral lists this non-coding RNA (31 nucleotides) under Rattus norvegicus (Norway rat). Lineage: Eukaryota; Metazoa; Chordata; Mammalia; Rodentia; Muridae. The record is from RNAcentral.
UAGUUGGGAUGUAAGAACACUGGAAACAGUU